UACAGGGGGUGCAAACGUUGCUCGGAAUUAUUGGGCGUAAAGCGCGCGUAGGCGGCUACUUAUGUCGGAUGUGAAAGCCCUUGGCUCAACUGAGGAAGCGCACCCGAAACUGAGUAGCUGGAGUACGAAAGAGGGUCGCGGAAUUCCCGGUGUAGAGGUGAAAUUCGUAGAUAUCAAGUGGAACACCAGUGGCGAAGGCGAGUCUCUGGACAUUUCCUGACGCUGAGGCACGAAAGCCAGGGGAGCAAACGGG
Molecule: ribosomal RNA, 253 nt
Filed under: uncultured bacterium
Lineage: Bacteria
Description: partial 16S ribosomal RNA
Rfam family: Bacterial small subunit ribosomal RNA
Source: RNAcentral